CCUACGGGUGGCAGCAGUAGGGAAUUUUCGUCAAUGGGCGCAAGCCUGAACGAGCAAUGCCGCGUGAACGAGGAAGGUCUUCGGAUCGUAAAGUUCUGUUGAAGGGGAAAAAGAGCGGAGAGAGGAAAUGCUUUCUGAUUGAUAUUACCCUUCGAGGAAGUCACGGCUAACUACGUGCCAGCAGCCGCGGUAAUACGUAGGUGGCGAGCGUUAUCCGGAAUGAUUGGGCGUAAAGGGUGCGUAGGCGGCCUGCUAAGUCUGGAGUGAAAGGUACCGGCUCAACCGGUACAGGCUCUGGAAACUGGCGGGCUAGAGAGCAGGAGAGGGCGGUGGAACUCCAUGUGUAGCGGUGAAAUGCGUAGAUAUUAGGAAGAACACCAGUGGCGAAGGCGGAUGACUGGACGACAACUGACGGUGAGGCGCGAAAGCGUGGGGAGCAAACAGGAUUAGAUACCCGGGUAGUC
Molecule: ribosomal RNA, 464 nt
Filed under: uncultured bacterium
Lineage: Bacteria
Description: partial 16S ribosomal RNA
Rfam family: Bacterial small subunit ribosomal RNA
Source: RNAcentral